RNAcentral lists this ribosomal RNA (503 nucleotides) under Salmonella enterica. RNAcentral's name for it is "partial 23S ribosomal RNA". It matches the Rfam family "Bacterial large subunit ribosomal RNA", at positions 1 to 534 of the family's 2925-position model. The record is from RNAcentral. Lineage: Bacteria; Pseudomonadati; Pseudomonadota; Gammaproteobacteria; Enterobacterales; Enterobacteriaceae.
GGGUUGUGAGGUUAAGCGACUAAGCGUACACGGUGGAUGCCCUGGCAGUCAGAGGCGAUGAAGGACGUGCUAAUCUGCGAUAAGCGCCGGUAAGGUGAUAUGAACCGUUAUAACCGGCGAUUUCCGAAUGGGGAAACCCAGUGUGACUCGUCACACUAUCAUUAACUGAAUCCAUAGGUUAAUGAGGCGAACCGGGGGAACUGAAACAUCUAAGUACCCCGAGGAAAAGAAAUCAACCGAGAUUCCCCCAGUAGCGGCGAGCGAACGGGGAGGAGCCCAGAGCCUGAAUCAGCAUGUGUGUUAGUGGAAGCGUCUGGAAAGGCGCGCGAUACAGGGUGACAGCCCCGUACACAAAAGCGCAUGUGCUGUGAGCUCGAUGAGUAGGGCGGGACACGUGGUAUCCUGUCUGAAUAUGGGGGGACCAUCCUCCAAGGCUAAAUACUCCUGACUGACCGAUAGUGAACCAGUACCGUGAGGGAAAGGCGAAAAGAACCCCGGCGAGG